This 366-nucleotide ribosomal RNA is filed under the name Staphylococcus chromogenes. RNAcentral's name for it is "bacterial SSU rRNA". It matches the Rfam family "Bacterial small subunit ribosomal RNA", at positions 138 to 490 of the family's 1533-position model. The record is from RNAcentral. Lineage: Bacteria; Bacillati; Bacillota; Bacilli; Caryophanales; Staphylococcaceae.
CUGGAAUAACUCCGGGAAACCNGGGCUAAUGCCGGAUAACAUAUCGAACCGCAUGGUUCGAUAGUGAAAGACGGUCUUGCUGUCACUUAUAGAUGGACCCGCGCCGUAUUAGCUAGUUGGUGAGGUAACGGCUCACCAAGGCAACGAUACGUAGCCGACCUGAGAGGGUGAUCGGCCACACUGGAACUGAGACACGGUCCAGACUCCUACGGGAGGCAGCAGUAGGGAAUCUUCCGCAAUGGGCGAAAGCCUGACGGAGCAACGCCGCGUGAGUGAUGAAGGUCUUCGGAUCGUAAAGCUCUGUUGUUAGGGAAGAACAAAUGUGUAAGUAACUGUGCACAUCCUUGACGGUACCUAACCAGAAAG